This 323-nucleotide unclassified non-coding RNA is filed under the name soil metagenome. RNAcentral describes it as "partial contains 5.8S ribosomal RNA, internal transcribed spacer 2, and large subunit ribosomal RNA". The stretch from base 2 to 121 matches the Rfam family "5.8S ribosomal RNA", at positions 35 to 154 of the family's 154-position model. The record is from RNAcentral.
GGAUGAAGAACGUAGCGAAAUGCGAUAAGUAAUGUGAAUUGCAGAAUUCAGUGAAUCAUCGAAUCUUUGAACGCACAUUGCGCCCUUUGGCAUUCCGAAGGGCACACCUGUCCGAGCGCCGUCGCACAACUGAGGCGCAGCCUUGCGUUGGCGGGCGACUUGUGAGUAGCGAGUCGCCGCCCAAACGAGACGGCGCCGCGCCGCGGCCGACGAAGCACGAAAGCGGAAGUCGACGCGGAGGCGGUUGCCUGUAGGAAGACACAGCUUGGCCUCGGAUCAGGUGGGGAUACCCGCUGAACUUAAGCAUAUCAAUAAGCGGAGGA